This 253-nucleotide ribosomal RNA is filed under the name uncultured bacterium. RNAcentral's name for it is "partial 16S ribosomal RNA". It matches the Rfam family "Bacterial small subunit ribosomal RNA", at positions 524 to 776 of the family's 1533-position model. The record is from RNAcentral.
UACGUAGGGGGCAAGCGUUGUCCGGAUUUAUUGGGCGUAAAGAGCGUGUAGGCGGCUAGAUAGGUCCGUUGUGAAAACUCGAGGCUCAACCUCGAGACGUCGAUGGAAACCAUCUGGCUAGAGUCCGGAAGAGGAGAGUGGAAUUCCUGGUGUAGCGGUGAAAUGCGCAGAUAUCAGGAAGAACACCCGUGGCGAAGGCGGCUCUCUGGUACGUGACUGACGCUGAGACGCGAAAGCGUGGGGAGCGAACGGG